Molecule: non-coding RNA, 696 nt
Organism: Erinaceus europaeus (western European hedgehog)
Lineage: Eukaryota; Metazoa; Chordata; Mammalia; Eulipotyphla; Erinaceidae
Source: the annotation of a RefSeq genome assembly
GUGAGGGAAGAUCUGCUUUAGUUUAGGGAUUAAGAAGACUGAAUUAUGAGAAUUAUCAUGGUUUGGUCUGCUCUUCUCCUAACACUUAUCAUUCAUUUCUCAGGAUCCUGGGCCCAGUCUGUGGUAACACAGCCAUCCUCAAUGUCUGGGAACCUGGGUCAGAGGAUCACCAUCUCCUGUACUGGAAACAGCAACAACAUAGGACAUAGUGAUAAUGGAAAAUAUAUAAUAUGGUAUCAGCACCUCUCGGGAAGGACCCCUAGACCUCUUAUCUAUGGUACAACUAAAAGACCGUCGGGGGUCCCAGAUCGUUUUUCUGGCUCCAAAUCUCGCAACACAGCCUCCCUUAUCAUCACGACACUCCAGUCUGAGGAUGAGGCUGAUUAUUACUGCUUUGUUUGGGAUAAUAAUGUAGGCGGUCACACAGUGCUCCGGCCCACUGGUGGAGUGAGACAAAAACUUGUUAUUAUCUCAGCUAUGGUUCAUAUGUUGUAGCUCCUUCCCUCUAAGCAAUUAGCCACUAACUUUUAUUUGGUGAAAAAUCAGUCUUAAGAGGCUGGGUGGUGGCACACCUGGUUGAGUGUGCCUUACAAUGCAGAAGGACACAGGUUCAGAACCCAAGUCCCCACUUGCAGGGGGAAAGCUUCACAGGUGAUAAAGCAGGACUGCAGGUGUCUCUCUGUUUCUCUCCCUCUC